RNAcentral lists this ribosomal RNA (388 nucleotides) under uncultured bacterium. RNAcentral describes it as "bacterial SSU rRNA". It matches the Rfam family "Bacterial small subunit ribosomal RNA", at positions 28 to 417 of the family's 1533-position model. The record is from RNAcentral.
GACGAACGCUGGCGGCGUGCUUAACACAUGCAAGUCGAGCGGUAAGGCCCUUUCGGGGGUACACGAGCGGCGAACGGGUGAGUAACACGUGGGUGACCUGCCCUCAGCUCUGGGAUAAGCCCGGGAAACUGGGUCUAAUACUGGAUAUGACUCCAUGACGCAUGUUGUGGGGUGGAAAGCCUUGUGCGGCUGAGGAUGGGCCCGCGGCCUAUCAGCUUGUUGGUGGGGUGAUGGCCUACCAAGGCGACGACGGGUAGCCGGCCUGAGAGGGCGACCGGCCACACUGGGACUGAGACACGGCCCAGACUCCUACGGGAGGCAGCAGUGGGGAAUCUUGCGCAAUGGGCGAAAGCCUGACGCAGCGACGCCGCGUGAGGGAUGACGGCCU